CACUUGGUCCUUCCAAACCAAGACAGGUCAAAUCCGAUAAUAUUAGUAAAAAAAUUAUGGUGAGGGUGGUGAAACACUGAAUUGUAAGUAGCACUGUAUUGUAAGUAGCAAGAUUGGAAAAUUGGAAAUGGGUUGCCCAGAGAGGUGCCCCAUCCCUGGAAUCUUCAAGAUCAGGUUGGAUAAGGUGCUGAUCUAGUCAAAAAUGUCCCUGCAUAUUGCAUGUGAGUUGGACUAGAUGGCCUUUAAAAGUCCCUUCCAACCCAAACUGUUCUGUGAUUCUUUGAUUCUGUGAAAAAAAGAUUUCUUCAAUGUUGAAGCAUGUUGUCAGAAGGGUUGAGGCAGUCCUUACUGACCCUGGAAGCUGAUACUACCAGUGUCACAUAGUUCUUAUAAAAGGAACUAAAGGGCAAAAAAGGAAGAAACACAUGUCUAAAAGAAAGAAACGUGUGUCAACUUUGUUGUCUUUUGCUGAAAUUUUAUCAAGCUCCCUGGCACAUUUUUCCAAAAUAAAUUAGAUUAAAAAAAUUUUUAGUGAUAGUCAUUUCAACCAGAGUCACCUUUAGUUUGGUGAAAUUUUCUCCUCCCCCUUAAAAGAAGACUGUUAUCAGACAGUUGAAUGUCAAGGCUAGAUUAGAUGGGUUUGGUUUUUAAGUUGGACUUUUUCAUGGCCAAAUUUGGAAUGAAACUACUGGAAGAUACUUUGAUCUAAAGCUUUUUGCCACACAUUCUGUUUUCUGAAAAUAAUACCCAUUUAUGGUCCUGGGGUGUUUAGGAAUUAUGUGGAAGUAUUUUUGAGUGUCUUUCAGUGGAAUUUCAGAAUGCCUUUAAUGCACUUAACAAGCAGAUUACACCAAGGAAAAUGAAAAUACAAACUUAUAUGGUUCUAUUGUCAUAGCAGAAUGUCAGAAAGAUCCAAGGUGAAGAAAUCAGUUUUAUAUUGAAGAGGGUGCAAUUUCAUGGCAACUACUUCAUCACGAGUGACUUCUGUGGUUCAAAUGUUCUUUGUGUGAAAACUUUUCUCUUUUUACUUACCUGCCACCCAUCAUGCACCAAAGUCUGGUUCUGACUGUCCCAAAGUGAGCUGUUUUCCUGCAAAGGAGGCAGUUGUUCUCUGGUGUUUGCUUUCUAGCUCCUAGAGGCUUUAAAGCAGCCGGAGAGAGAGGCUGAGUGCUUCACUUGAAAUUCUCAAGCUGGGAGCAAGGCCCAUCUCUCUGGGCAGCUGGGGCUUGUUCUUUGGCCACAGUCCAAUUACUCAAAGGAUUUUUAAUCACCUUUGGUUCAGUAUAGCAGGUGAAUGUUAAAUAAAACUCUCCUGUAUGAUCAUUCAGAUGCUUCUCUGGGAGUCACACUCAUUCUGCUUGAGACUUUUAACUGCUGGGACUGAAGCCAUGUUGGAAUCUGGAAUGAAAUAACUAAUGUUCCAAUAAUUUGGGAAUCUUCUUCUGCAAGAAGUACACAUGUGCUUUUUAUGUAUUCUGGACAUCAUGGAUUAAAAAGUUUAGGAUCAGUUUGGAUUCUUCUAAAUCCAUCUCUCCAGUCCAGGUGUCCUGUAGCUGGCUGAUGCUUAGAACUAUCUUGCCAAAAGAAUGGUCCCUUAGAAAUCAAAUGUGUUGAUGAUUUUUUCCCUUCCCUUAUCUUUACCUAAAUCUUUUGCUUAUAUCAAGCUGAAGUUUUGUUUGAGUAAAUUUGGUAGGAACUGGAUCAUAACCGAGUUUAGAAGCUGGAACACAAAGGCUGUUAAAAAACCAAAAUUUCGAAGCUGGUGUCUAUUAGGUAAGCAGAUACAGAUGCCAAAUGCUAAAGAGUUUACCAAAUUCCCAUUAAAAUUAUUGCUAAUACUUUGGGAAAGCAGUGAAUUUUCAGGAAACAAACUUAGGGCAUUGCUAUUGAGAGUAUCCACUGUGUGGAUACACAGGAACCAAGUUUCCAAGUUGUGCAUGACUGUGAUGGUGUUCUUGUCCUCAAAUGCAAAUUGGAGCACAAGGUUAAUUCAGACCAAGCUGAAGCAAGAACACAAGGAGUCAGGACAAACUGAAGUAGCUCCUGGGAAUGUUAUGCAGCAUCUUAUUACAUGUUAUAGCAAGAGGAGGGAAUCCAGACUGCUGUCAGACAUUAAGUAGGAAUAUGGUUCUAACACUGGUGCAGCCUUAUUGUUGCUGACCUGAGAGGUGACAUGCUGCAUUCUUAGUCUAUACCUGGUCUGUAUGGAUGCCUAGGAAAUCAGAGCAUCAAUGCUGCAAGGAAAAGCAAUGAUUAAGAAGGUCAAGCUGGGUAAGACCCCUGGGGAUACAUUUGCAGCAUGAACUACAAGAAUGUGAUCAGGCAUUUCAAGUUACUAAUGAGAAUGUGCUUGUGAUACCUUUAAACAGUGCUGAUUUUGAAUAUUUUUUUUUACCCAGGGUGAAAUGAUGUGAAGAAGAGUGGGGUCUGAGCACUUCAUUAAUGCCAGAAAAAAAAAUGAGGGCAUUGAAAAUUAUAUUCCUGGUAAAAUGCAUCCUAGCUUCUAGGCAUGCAGUAAAGUAGUCACGUCAGGCAACACAGAAUUUAACUACCCAUAGUGUGGGCUUCUUACUGUUCAUCUAGGGGCAUCAGACCAGUGAAUCUACUAGAUCUUCUUUGUCCUGAAAGGAAAGAACAAGAAAACUGAUAAAAGUUAUGGACUGGCUUUUGCACAGGGAGUGACUGACUCGGUAGGUUGACUGCUGGCUCAUGACUAGCAGGAGAGGAGAACACGGCCCAUCACAAAGUCUGUAAAAUCAACUGGACCCUGAUGCAUGUGGAAUGAUUUUUACACAGUACAGCAAUUUCAACUGGAACUGACCCUGUGCCCCUGGGAAAGGUGCUGACAGGUUUUUCUGGGGAAAUGGCAGGGAUCAGCACAUCUGGAGCACAAAGGAUGGGCUUCACCCUAGAAAACCCACCUUCCAUGACUGUAACAUCUUCCCUACCAGGAAAAGAAAAGGCUCCUAGGCUGGAGAAGCUAUUGGACUCAUGGCUGUGUUGCAGCAGCACUGUUCAUAUUUGCUUCUGAAAGGUGGGCACUUGUUUUGUUACUGUGUCCUCUCUUAUAAAACAGAAGUCCUUCUCUUGCCUCUGUGCAGUUCAUUAUUUGUAGAAUUCUUUCAGGAGUCCACAUGAAAGGGUAUUUUAGAUGCAUUAAUUAUUAGUUUUAAGCACAGCUGCUUUGUCUGAGGUCUUUCUUUCAGCUGAAAAUGGGUUUGACUGCAAGGAAACAUAUUUUUCCAAGAAGAUUAUAUUGGUCUUAAGUCCAAGAAACAGAGAAAGCAAAUAAAGCUAUUUUGUUUAAAAAGGAAUUAUUUUUCAGGGGGGGAAAUUAUUUCCCCCCAUAUUUUAAUUAGAAGUAUUAUUGUUUAUGAAAAACUGUUGUUUAAUUCAUCAUGGGGAAAUGGUCAAACAUUAAAAUCAAUAGUUUUUGGAAAAAAAGUAAUUUCCUCAGCUACUUUCAAUCAUUUGCUUAGGUAUUGACAGAAAUUUCCUUGGAAGCUGUCAUCUCACUCAGAAAGCAGACUCUGAAUUUAAUGAAAAGUUUCAGCAAAUAUCUGCUGUGUGUAAAAAGCUCCCACUUUUUUUUCUCCCCAAGACAAAAUUUUUCUAUAAGACCCAUAUAGUAUGGAAAUUUUCUGUGAUGAUACAGAAUUUUGAAAUCUUGGAUGGUGGAGGGAAAUUCUUAUCUAUGAGGUUGUGGUCACAUGCUAAUAUUACUGAUGACUUGCUUGCUGUUUAGGUUGCAGAUAAGAGUUUUACUUCUAUACUCUGGUUAUAAAAGAGAUUUUGUUAUUUUCUCAUGUCAGCCACAUUAAAAUAAACAUUGUUUCCUGUUGAAGAGCCUCAAGAACCUUCAGUCGGUAAAAAAAAAAGUGGUUUAGUUUUGCUUACAGCAGUCACGUCCUUUUCCCCUUCCAAUGUUAAGCUGAUGCUAAAAGUACCUGUUUAAGCCUAUCACAUAAGUACUAAUAAUAGGUAUUGAUUAAAAAAAAAACAGUUAGUGUCACACUACGACACGAAAUAACUCACACAUUUACACUAGAUGCAAAAGAGAGAAAAGAGGAAGUUUAUUCCUGACCUCACAAUAUAUGAAUUCUAAAAGUGACAGUGGAUUGGAGGAUCAAAUUGCUACUCUCCAACCACACUAGUCAAACUAACAGUCUAUCAAUUCUCUCCUCCUCCAAAGAAGAAUGCAAAACAAUCAUUAUUUACAUGAACAGUGUGAAAACUCCAGUAGAAAUAUGUAAACAUUAGAAGGCAUAGAAAACUUAUAAAAGAACCUUAACAUUUUCCAAAAAAAAAAGUGACAAGGUAGGAACUUACGUUACUGAGCUCAUAAUUUUGUAAGAACGGAGCAUCUCAAGCAAGUGGGGAAAGCCACUUUGUUUAUCUGGCUUGUGCUUGGCGUUAUGGAAAACACAAACAUGCUUCAAAAAAAAGCAAUGCAGGAAUUGUUGAAACAGGCACAGGUACAAUGCUAAGCUUCUGCUCCAGCAACCAGGAAGAACACCAGCAGAGAAAUUUUCUUACUCUUUUGUGCUUGGUGCCCUACUUGAGGGUGUUACCUGAUGGUUCUCAGUGCUGUGACUUGUGAGAUAGGAAAAGCUGUAAAACUUGCUGAAGGUCUGCCUUGGAUACAUGGCUGGGAGCUGUGUUUAGCACUAGCUGAACACAAGGUUGGCCUGGAUAUGGACAGUGAAAAGCCAUGGGUCACUCUGCACUGCUCUCUUGGAUCUAAUUUAGAGCACCCCACCUUUUGUUAUAUUUGUCUUGUAAUGUUUACCAUAUCUCUGAAGGCUGGACUAUACAACUGGACCUGAUGAUCUUAAAGGUUUUUUUUCCAACCUAAAUGAUUCUGAAAGAGUGAAAACCUCUCAUUUAUUUGCUUGUGGUUACUUUGCCUUGCAUUAUUGUGGCUGACAGGUGGAUGUGCAGAUGUUGUAAAACAGCAAAUAAAUUCAGGACAGUUUAGCAAAAUGAAGGGGGGUCAGGCACUCCAAGAUCACCUGUGAAAUGGCCGGAAUGCUGCUGUUGUCUAGAGAGCUUGAUGUGAACACUUCUGCCAUCUGCCAGAACUCUUUGCCAAAUUAAUUACAGAUCAACUGCAAGGAAGUCUGAAUGACCAUUACCAACCAUGCUGGCAUUCCCCUAGCAAAAAUAUUGUCCCCAUGCACUCCAAAAACAUUUAAGGUGCAUUUUAAGUAGCAAGAUUGGAAAAUGCAGAUCCUGUUUCCGGCUCUCUGUGUUUAGUCAGUGGCAGUGCAUUGAAGGCUCUAGAUCAAUUUAUGCCCAUUUAAAUCAUUGGCCUUAGCACUUAACAGAGGAUGCUUGGAAAGAUUCUGAACACAUUUAGUGUUUCAUUCCCCUUGGGUGUGUAAAUUUCCAAAGCUGCUGUAUAAUCUUGGCCUGGAGAUCCAGCACAGAGCAUAUUGUCUGUGGGACUGCUUGUCCUUGGCUCACCAUCAGGUGGGAAGAGGUGCUGGUUCUGGCUUUGCAUGUGCCUCUGCUUUUAGAAACAGUUUGGGCAAGUGGAGGAACAGUUCUGCAGAGCCAUAACAGUCUCUUUUGUACAUGAUGUUUGGGCACAUUUUAAAGCCUUUAUUUUCUCAGCCAUGAAAUCUUCUUUGAGUGGUUGCAUUCUAUCUUGUAAGUACUCUAGUCAGGGCUUUUCCAGCAUGUGUUUACAAGCCUCUGUGGGCGUGCUUGCCAUAGUAAUUCCUGGCUACAUUUUAUUGGGAAUGUCGUGAUACUCAUAGGGUUUGGAGGGAGAAGCAGCAUUCCAAGUGGGAAAUGACAUCCACAAUUUUCAGUGGCAUGGACCAAAGCUACAGCCCUAAGACUUCUUUAGAAAGUAUUCCUCUUUGUAAGGGAUGUGCAUUCUUUAUAUUUUCUCUGUUCGUAAUACUUCCUUCAAUAUAUACAAAUGUUCUCAUUUUACUCUUUCUCUCUGAUCACUGUCAUUAUCGAAAAUAGUAUUUAAAACCAAAAAAAAUAGAUUAAACUAACCUCCUCUGUUUUUUUAUGUGCACCUUCCUAGUUAAAUGUGUCUGAGCUGAUGAGCUGUCACUUGUUGAGUCACAGCAAACCCUUUGUCCACAUUAUGACUAGUAGAUAUUUAAUUGCCUCCGGAAUUAAAUUGUUAUUUCCACCUUCCCAUGGUUAUUUUCUCUUAUCUCCUUUGACAUUCACAUUACAAAGUAACAAUGUUGUAAUUAUUUUGAAAAGAAUGAAAUUACUUUGCCUGUGAGACACUCAAUCUUGGUAGCUCUAACAAUGUAGAACUGUGGGGUGGCAGGCAAGAGUGUCACCCUGCAAAAUAGGAAAGAAAGGCACAAAGGGAGUUACACAUAUUAUUUAAGAAGGGAGGGGGUCAUCUUGAUGUUGACUGGGACAGAUGUGAACCUGAAGAUCACUGUGUAGAGUAGGAUCAUAUAGGUUUUGUGUGUUGGGGUCAAGAUCCUGAUGGAAGAGACACGAGAGUGAGUAAAUGACCCAGUGUGGAAGGUGUUACCCCAGCACACCAGCACUUGUAGUCCAUAAUUAAGGCUGUGUGGACCAGAGAGUGGGAAGUGUUGUCCAUGGAGCCCCUGCAGUGGCCAACACUUGUCUCCCAAUGCUCACUUCCACAGUGGGGCAUUCGUGGCAUUCCUGAGGAGCUGAAGUUAUGAAUAAGGUGUAGGUUUUGCUGAGAGGUACGACAGGUCAUACACAUGAACUGUGUAAGGCCUGUGAGGGGAGAUGCUGAGCUUGGGGUGGUAGAGAACAGCACUGAUGUCUUCAGCUUUGAGGGGACAAUCUCCAUUCUUCUCUCUGUGGUUCUGGUAGUGCCAGUACCCUGAUGCCUCAAGGGGAAGAAGACUCUUGGUACCUGGUUGGAGCACAAUGUUUCUCUUUGUGAGUUCUGCAUCCCUGUGCCCUACACACACAGACUUGGAUGAUGACUUCUAACUUUCAUAGCUCAAAGUAUAGUAGAAAAAAAUUUAAUGUUUUGGACUGUUUCUAGAUUCUCACCUGUUUUGCCUUAUUUCUCUGUUUUCUGCCACCAUCUAGGGUUUUCCUAGGGUGUUCCCGAGGCUCUGAAAAUAAAGGUGUUGGUCCAGUCAUUUCCAACCUUGGCUUAUGGGCAGAAGUCCUGAUUAAGUAAUAUACUCUGAGCAGCAUCAAGGUAUCCCUGUCAGCCCUGGAAGCUGAGGGCUUGGUUUAGCUUUUUAACUUGUCUGUUCACAUAGCAGUGGCAAAAGGCAUUGCAAACAGGUGGUGGUGUCUGUCCACAGAGUGAGGGAACCCUCACUCUAAACCUUGAGAAGUACUCCAGGUUUAAGGUAGAAUGUGAGAAGCAUCCUGGGAGGUUUUCCCCCAGUAAUUUCUGUGUGCAGCAGGAGCACACCAGCCAAAAGGUGCUUUUUGACCUGCCUGAAAUGGCCAUGGGCUAUAUUAAUACACUGUAGAGUUUUUUUAUUUCUUCUGGUGAAAGUGAACAGUAAUUUUUAAUUCGUUUUCCAAAACAAAUAAACAGUAUUUGCUUUGGAGGAUCUGUGCUAGUCCAACUGGCUGAUGACCCAGUCCAAAAGCUGACAGAUUAUUCUUUUCUUUUCCAAUGGUAGGAAAAUAUGAUGACCAAACAUGAUGCAGGUCCUUUUUUUGAGGAACAAAAGCCUUGUAUUUCACCUUCUGCAUGUUUUUAAGUUGUUACAUAAGUACAAAAUAGUUAAGCUGAAAACCAUAAACAGUAAUAAUAGAUCUAGCAGUUGAUCUGCAUGUUUAUUUAACGCUCCUUUCAAAGAAGAGAUUUGCAUUAGAAUUGAGACUCAUAUAUUUUAAAUUACCUGUAAAUCACAUAUAAUUUAAGUUUCCUGCCAAUUACAAUUUAUUUUUCACGUAGCAGCUUUGCUAAUUGAAAUUCAGUCAACCUGUCUCCAGCCAUAUAUGCAGUGCAAAGUUCUUUUUCUUUCACUGAAAUUGGGUGGAGAACAGAAACCUGCACUAUCAGAACUGUUUGCAGCAUAGCAAGAGAUCAGAGACGUUUUGCAGGGCAAGCAUCGAGACUUUGGAACAAUCCCCCCCAGCACAUUUUCAACACAAGUCUCCUCCUGACAGUGAGUGUCUGGGUCUGAAAAUGGCCUGUCUCCAGUAACCACUGUGCAUCCCUGAAACUGGCAACAUUAUACAAUAAACAGUCGCCUUCUCUCUGCCUUCCCAGAUGUAUAUAAAAUUUGCCAUGGCUGAAGUCUGUCUUUUGGGAAGUUCCAGAGGUAAUUGUCUGGAGUUGACUUACAGGGCUCCUGUCAAAAGGAGUUAGUAUUUCAGCAACUCCUUGGUCAACUCCAUGGCAGUACCAAAAUAGCUGACUGCCUUAGACAUCAGCUGGCCUUGCUUAGGUGGAGCAACUCAAAUGUUUUUAAAAGCAAAAUAGUUAUCAUGCUUCCAUUGUGUCCUGCAGCAAAAUUCUUCUGGCCAAAAAGGUUUCAAGGGAAUGAGUGUCUUUAUUUUUCUCUCCCUCUAUCUCUAUUUAUAGCUUAUGAACAUUGGGAAAUGUAUGACAGGGAGCUGGAGGAGGAAUGGAUUUUAGGACUUGAAGGUCAAAUAUUUUAUUCAAGGGAAGCCUGAGUUGUUCAUGAUGGAAAGGACAGCCUGAUGGCAAAGCUAUGUGCUGUGUUUAAGGCACACAGCUGCAAAGAGAAACUGAUUAAAUUCAGGAUCAGAUCUUCAGUGGACACAAUGGAUUCCUUCUCACACACAUACAGUGCUCAUCUGGAGUCCAGAGCCUCUCUUGAAGCUCUUUUUGAUAUGAAAUUCAGCAGCUUUUAUGACCAGAUCAAGUGCUCUUUUUUCUCAUUGUUCAUAACCGUAUUUGCGGUAUGAGAAAAUAAUACUCAGCACUAGUAAGAAAUAUUCAACUAAGUACAAAUAAAACUGUGUUCCAUCAUGAAUUUCUUUCCCUACAGCACACUUUCCCAUGGUCAUUUUAUCCACUGAUGACUGCAUCCCAGCUGGAGCAGGUUGGCAAAAUUAAUCCAAAGUCCUUGAAUUCAAGAUGAUUCAAAUGGAUGAGGGAUCUUUUUCUGAGGUUAUCAGUUUAAAGAUGUCUGGCACUUGGCCUUCAAACUGUGAGCUGUCUAAUCCCUAUCUUGGUAAAGUCAGCAGCAAUGUCUUCACUGACUUUAGCAGAAGUGAACCUUAGAUCAUUACUGCUCAGAUAUGAUCCUUUGAACCAUUUCACUCUCAACAGCAUACAGCUGUGUGUCAGAUGUGAUUAUUUCAUUGCUUAUUCAGGUUUUCUCUCAUUUCCUUCUGCUUUUCUAUCUCAAAUGGUAUUUCACCUUCACUGUUUCUUAUUUUACCAGACUUAAUUGGAAAUGCAUUGGUCUUACAAUUUUUAACACUACCCAUUCCUCCUGCCCCUUGUAAUUUUCAACUCCAUAGUCCAGGCUGGGAUGUUAAAACAUCUUUCCUAAAAGUAGGGUAGCACUUAAUCUUGGAGUUUUUUGGAGGCAAUGUCCAGCCACAAAAUCUCAGUCUAGGUACAAGGCUACUCAGAAAUUGUCUUGCUAUUGAUUCUUUUUAGACUUUUAAAAAUAAAAAAAGGUAAAAAGGAGAAAAAUAUUUAAGCUUGCAUUAUGUUGUACAAAUUUUCCAGAACUAUUGUUUUUCUUCUCACUUUGGGAGAAAAAAAAAAAAAAGGUAAACCAACAAACUUGAAAUAUGUCUGUGUUAUAAGGCUCACUUCUAAUUCAGCUGACAGGUCUGGGUGAUCCCAAAGAAAACAGAGAAGGGUGGAAGGGUGAAAGUAACCUUCUACUGCUUUGAAUUGCAUGUGUUCAUGAACACACUCACUUUAGGUAGUGGUGAUCCCCUCUUGUUAACUUAAAUUAAGGGAAGCUUUGGUUCUGUUCUCUUUGAGAUGGUUUUUCAUGUUGUAUGCUGCAAGAGCUCAGUGUGUAGGAGCAAUGUAUAAUAUACAUGUAUGAAAUGAGUAUUUGGCUCAAAAGCCAAAGCCUCUGAAUUAUUUAAAAUGGAGAACCAAAUGAUGGUUUCAGCUGCACUCAGCUGGGUAGGUGGUGCCAGUAACUGACAAAUUUGACCUAGUGCCUGUUUAUUGUGAUACCUGGUAUUUUUGGCAAAUUACAUAAACAAAUAUCCUGGUAUUUUUCUUGGCAAACAGCAUGAAUACCACUCUUGCUUUAUUCUCUUUGUCCCAGCAAAUGCUUUAUGGCAAGUAUUCAUCACCAAAUAAAGGGUGAGAUCAUCUGCAGUGCAAAGCCCAUUAGGUCAUGUAUUUUGGCAUUCUGCUGCUGGGCUGCAAGGUCUGCCACAAACUUGGCCGAACUGUGCACGAUGCUGACAGCGUUUCCCAGGCAAUAAGAAUCAGAUAUCCUUUUUCCUUUGUGCACAGAAGUGUGUACUUGAUGUGGUGAGUAGUGGUGGUGUGCUACAGGGUUAGACUUGUUUGCCUAACCAAGACUUGUAGGUAAAAACGUGAAACUGAGAUGUUUAAAAUAUGCCCUUGUUAGGGAUUUUUUAAGCAUUUACACCCACUUUUGCAUUCAUGUGCUUUUUCCCACCCUGUCUUUGCCCACCAUCUCUCUACCCUUUGUAGCACAUCUUUGACACCUUCCUCUCCCACUGUGUCCCCUGCCCCACUGGUGGCUUCAGUCAGCUUUAAAUACCAUCCACUGCUACUGCCAUGAGGAAUGAGCUCCUCUUGGGAGAUUUCCCUGGGAAAUCUGAGACUUUGGCUUCUCUGUCAGUAUUUGCUUUGCUGCUGAUGGCUCUGACACGUGUCCUUCAGUCACCAGAGCAGAAGCCAAGGGGGCUUGUGCAGGCUGAAGCUCCUUUUCCAGCAGUGCCCUGUGGAUAUGAAUAUCUACCUGCCUCCAAGUCAAUUUGAAACUCCUGCUAACUGGCUGACAAAUGGAAGGUAGUCACUUCAAUAUAUCCACAAAUAAGAUUUUUAGGAAUUACAAUGCACUGGAAUUGCAGGUGGGCUGCAUGCACAAUGCUGCUCACUCAUGACCUUCGAAGCAUCAAGCUUAAUGAACGCCUGGUGCCCCUGAUGGCUGCAGUAGUCCACACAUGUACUCUGUUGUUUUUCAGUGUUUCUCAGAACUGCAUGGAUGUCAAAUUUACUGGAACUAGUGGAAGGACUCCAUCUAGCAGCAUGUGCCCUAAUCAGUGGUGAAGAAGAGUUUACAGGCAACCUGAUGGCCAGAUCAAUCCUGCAUGGCUGAUGGCUGUACCUCCACCAGAAAUCUUGGAGGAUGUGGAAGAUGGAGGACAAUAUUGGAAUGUCUUGCCUGUGCUGCUGCUGUCCUUAGGGAAUCAUCUUGAACUGAGCAUCAAAGGGACCCAUCUGUUCUGCCAUGCCCAGAGAGGAAUCAGGUACAGGUGGUUUAUCAGCUCCUCACUGCAAGUGUUGCAGAGCUGUUUACAUAAAUCUUUGUAAAUCUGCACCGAGGUAUUUCAUGGCAUGGUACAGAACUUUGAAAAGAAACAAUGGAAUAAGCAUCUCAAAAAGAUGCAUACUAUCAGACAUUACUUCCCCAUUAUCUCUUGAUAUGCUCUAACAGGGCAGUUGAUUGUUGAUGGAUGCAAGUGUUGUCCUGAUUUAAGUGAGUCUCUGCAGCACUCAUGCUUCUCUGUCAAUUCUCUAUUUCUUCAAUGGUUCUGGAUUAAAUCUAAAAAACUG
Molecule: non-coding RNA, 11692 nt
Organism: Taeniopygia guttata (zebra finch)
Lineage: Eukaryota; Metazoa; Chordata; Aves; Passeriformes; Estrildidae
Source: RefSeq, a predicted model, not a curated record